RNAcentral lists this ribosomal RNA (319 nucleotides) under uncultured bacterium. RNAcentral's name for it is "partial 16S ribosomal RNA". It matches the Rfam family "Bacterial small subunit ribosomal RNA", at positions 355 to 690 of the family's 1533-position model. The record is from RNAcentral.
UGGGGAAUAUUGGACAAUGGGGGCAACCCUGAUCCAGCAAUGCCGCGUGUGUGAAGAAGGUCUUCGGAUUGUAAAGCACUUUCGACGGGGACGAUGAUGACGGUACCCGUAGAAGAAGCCCCGGCUAACUUCGCGCCAGCAGCCGCGGUAAUACGAAGGGGGCUAGCGUUGCUCGGAAUGACUGGGCGUAAAGGGCGUGUAGGCGGUUUACACAGUCAGAUGUGAAAUCCCCGGGCUUAACCUGGGAGCUGCAUUUGAUACGUGUAGACUAGAGUGUGAGAGAGGGUUUGUGGAAUUCCCAGUGUAGAGGUGAAAUUCG